AGCGUGCGCAGGCGGUUAUGUAAGACAGAUGUGAAAUCCCCGGGCUCAACCUGGGAACUGCAUUUGUGACUGCAUGGCUAGAGUACGGUAGAGGGGGAGUGGAAUUCCGCGUGUAGCAGUGAAAUGCGUAGAUAUGCGGAGGAACACCGAUGGCGAAGGCAAUCCCCUCGGACCUGUACUGACGCUCAUGCACGAAAGCGUGGGGAGCAAACAGGAUUAGAUACCCGUGU
This 230-nucleotide ribosomal RNA is filed under the name uncultured bacterium. Its description in RNAcentral is "partial 16S ribosomal RNA". It matches the Rfam family "Bacterial small subunit ribosomal RNA", at positions 564 to 791 of the family's 1533-position model. The record is from RNAcentral.